UCCCGAAAAGCCAAACCUGCCGCGAGGCAGGGACAGAAAGCGACGGAUCUCCAAGUUUGGAAGAUGGCCGAGCUGCCGAAG
Molecule: non-coding RNA, 81 nt
Filed under: Desulfuromonadaceae bacterium
Lineage: Bacteria; Pseudomonadati; Thermodesulfobacteriota; Desulfuromonadia; Desulfuromonadales; Desulfuromonadaceae
Description: c-di-GMP sequence
Rfam family: c-di-GMP-I-GGC riboswitch aptamer
Source: RNAcentral